This 292-nucleotide unclassified non-coding RNA is filed under the name plant metagenome. Its description in RNAcentral is "partial contains small subunit ribosomal RNA, internal transcribed spacer 1, and 5.8S ribosomal RNA". The record is from RNAcentral.
UUUCCGUAGGUGAACCUGCGGAAGGAUCAUUAUUGAAUAAACCUGAUGUGGUUGUAGCUGGCCCUUUCGGGAGCAUGUGCACACCCGUCGUCUUUAUCUUUCCACCUGUGCACCUUUUGUAGACCUGGAUGUAACACUUUCCGAGGCAACUCGGUCGGGAGGAAUGCUGUCAGCUUUCCUUGAGUGUCCAGGCCUAUGUUUUCAUAUACCCCAAAGAAUGUAACAGAAUGUAUUAUUGGGCCUUGUGCCUAUAAACUAUAUACAACUUUCAGCAACGGAUCUCUUGGCUCUC